UGGGGAAUUUUGGACAAUGGGCGAAAGCCUGAUCCAGCAAUGCCGCGUGUGUGAAGAAGGCCUUCGGGUUGUAAAGCACUUUUGUCCGGAAAGAAAUCCUUGGCUCUAAUACAGUCGGGGGAUGACGGUACCGGAAGAAUAAGCACCGGCUAACUACGUGCCAGCAGCCGCGGUAAUACGUAGGGUGCAAGCGUUAAUCGGAAUUACUGGGCGUAAAGCGUGCGCAGGCGGUUUGCUAAGACCGAUGUGAAAUCCCCGGGCUCAACCUGGGAACUGCAUUGGUGACUGGCAGGCUAGAGUAUGGCAGGAGGGGGGUAGAAUUCCACGCGUAGCAGUGAAAUGCGUAGAGAUGUGGAGGAAUACCGAUGGCGAAGGCAGCCCCCUGGGCCAAAUACUGACGCUCAUGCACGAAAGCGUGGGGAGCAAAACAGGAUUAGAUACCCUGGUAGUCCACGCCCUAAACGAUGUCAACUAGUUGUUGGGGAUUCAUUUCCUCAGUAACGUAGCUAACGCGUGAAGUUGACCGCCUGGGGAGUACGGUCGCAAGAUUAAAACUUAAAUGAAUUGACGGGGUCAUAGCUGUUUCC
Molecule: ribosomal RNA, 587 nt
Filed under: uncultured bacterium
Lineage: Bacteria
Description: partial 16S ribosomal RNA
Rfam family: Bacterial small subunit ribosomal RNA
Source: RNAcentral